This 59-nucleotide transfer RNA is filed under the name Cercopithecus albogularis kolbi (Mount Kenya Sykes' monkey). RNAcentral describes it as "tRNA-Ser". The record is from RNAcentral. Lineage: Eukaryota; Metazoa; Chordata; Mammalia; Primates; Cercopithecidae. RNAcentral also lists the same sequence under 2 other names.
GAGAAAAUUCGCAAGGAUUGCUAACCCAUGCCUCCGUACUUAAAACUAUGGCUUUCUCA